GAGAGGGAGAGGAGGGAGGAACAGAGACGCGGGAGGAGGAGUCGGAGCGGGCGGACGCGGGGACUCCAGGUCUGAAUGGCAGGAGCCUCGAGGGCCACCCGGCGGUUACUGGGGAGACGCUUUGUUUGCUAACUUCGAAAACUGCUCCGGCCGCCUCGGUCGCUGGCGAAGCGACUCCACUAAACCCGCUUUGGGUCUUUGGAGCCCUGCCCCCCGCCCGAGACAACCGAGAUUCCUUCUUCCCCUAGUUAUCCCUUGGCCACGCCGUAGCUUGCUUUCCUCAGGUCCACAAAGGAACACAAAGUUCCAUUUGUUGUCUUUAUCUACUGAAGCUGCCUCAAGGCCAAGAAAAGAAACACAGUUGUAUAAAGGUACUAGUUGAGCAAGAUUUCUUUCCCGCACCAUGGUGAUCCCUUUUGUCGGAGUAAAGGAUGGGUGUCAGAUACUUUGGUAAACUGUAUUGCGCUCCAAAGCUCCCAGACUACAUGAUUCUAAUAAUACCUUCACAUCUUGAGCUACUAAAGGAGAAGCUGACCAUUGUUUUUUCAAGGGGCUGGGGCUGAGCUACCACCAUCUUUUGGUGAUUUUAUCAGGAUUAUUCUCCUCCUCAUAGUUAAAUAAAUAAUAUAACUGGUACUCCUGCUUGUUUUUAAUCACUUUUGUCCUCGCCUGCAUGCCCCUUUGAGCCCUUCUUUCUCCUUCAUAGCCCCGUCAUCACUUCCCCUAGAGGAUAACCGGAACACAGUAAAAGGAUAACUUGUUGAGCUUGGCUUUUAUUCCUUUUGUUCUCAACAUCUCGUGUUUGUUGUGCUUUACAGUUUAUCAAACACUUAUUUGAAUGAUCAUUUAAUGUUCAAACUAAUAA
This 865-nucleotide long non-coding RNA is filed under the name Dasypus novemcinctus (nine-banded armadillo). RNAcentral describes it as "lncRNA (ENSDNOG00000052297.1)". The record is from RNAcentral. Lineage: Eukaryota; Metazoa; Chordata; Mammalia; Cingulata; Dasypodidae.